GACGAACGCUGGCGGCGUGCUUAACACAUGCAAGUCGAACGUGAACCUUUUCUUCGGAGAAGGGGAAAGUGGCGAACGGGUGAGUAACGCGUAGACAACCUGCCCUCCGGUGGGGGAUAGCCCCGGGAAACUGGGAUUAAUACCGCAUGACGCACCUGGGCCGCAUGGUACCGGGUGUUAAAGAUUUAUCGCCGGUAGGAUGGGUCUGCGUGACAUUAGGUAGUUGGUGGGGUAACGGCCCACCAAGCCAACGAUGUCUAGCUGGUCUGAGAGGAUGACCAGCCACACUGGGACUGAGAUACGGCCCAGACUCCUACGGGAGGCAGCAGUGAGGAAUAUUGGACAAUGGGGGAAACCCUGAUCCAGCAACGCCGCGUGAAUGAUGACGCUGUUACGCAGUGUAAAGUUCUGUAAGGAGGGAAGAACCGCCGGGUAUUGCCCGGUCUGACGGUACCUCCUAAGUAAGCACCGGCUAACUCCGUGCCAGCAGCCGCGGUAAAGUCUGUAC
RNAcentral lists this ribosomal RNA (508 nucleotides) under uncultured bacterium. RNAcentral describes it as "bacterial SSU rRNA". It matches the Rfam family "Bacterial small subunit ribosomal RNA", at positions 28 to 530 of the family's 1533-position model. The record is from RNAcentral.